This 627-nucleotide ribosomal RNA is filed under the name Desmoscolecidae sp. 52_8-1000_X. Its description in RNAcentral is "eukaryotic LSU rRNA". It matches the Rfam family "Eukaryotic large subunit ribosomal RNA", at positions 392 to 901 of the family's 3401-position model. The record is from RNAcentral. Lineage: Eukaryota; Metazoa; Nematoda; Chromadorea; Desmoscolecida; Desmoscolecidae.
AGAGGGCGUGAAACCGCUUAGAAGGAAACGAGAGGCGCCGCGAUCUGCCUGUAAAAUUCAGUAAUUGGGCUGUUCUGCCGUCCUUAAUUAUGCAUUUUUUGCAGGCUUGCACCGGGAUCUGUGCAUAGAGUGCUGUUGGCAGCUUAUAGGGAGGCGCAUUUGCGUUACUUUAUUGGUUGUUUGCUUCACGUCCAUGUACCGUUUCUAGACACCCUGAAUGGUUCAGCUGCGGAUGAACAGUUUCUCAAAUUCAGUUUUUGGCUUUGAGUCUGACUCGGGAUUUGGGCCUCUGGAAUUCCAUCGGUUGAGUAUGUGUUGUUUCGGUGUGAAAGUCGGCUACCCUCCCGACCCGUCUUGAAACACGGACCAAGGAGUCUAUCAUGUGCGCGAGUCAAUGGGUUUAUCAAACCCACAGGCGCAAUGAAAGUGAAGACCGGCUCGGUCGGUUGACACAUGAUCCAUUCAGCCCGCUGUUUGGUGCAAUGUGGUCCCAUCCUAGAUGCUUGUCAUCGAGGUGGAGAUUGAGCGUACAUGUUGGGACCCGAAAGAUGGUGAACUAUGCCUGAACAGGAUGAAGCCAGAGGAAACUCUGGUGGAAGUCCGAAGCGGUUCUGACGUGCAAAUCGA